UGUUGUAAUUAAAUAAGGAAACAUCUUUUUUUCUUUCAUCAUACUCCUUCCCUUUGGCGGAGGCCGCCAUUUACCGUACUGUCGCAUUGCGUCAGUUGCAGAAAAAAAUGUAACAUAUUUAUUAAUAAUUUUGGUCCUACUGAUGUUAAUCUACACACUACAAUGCUAAGAUUUUUUGUAAAAUUGAGUUUGAAAUUAGAACUUUCCCUUUGUAUCCGAUCUUUGUGAUGCAGUUGAUGUUGCUUAAUAAAAUAACUGAAAUUAUAUAAAGUUAUAGGCAACCAAAUUAUCAAUAAUGUUUUUAAUCAGUUCUGGAAGUCGUUGAUGGUUGAGUGUCGUGUCCAUAUAACAGUCAGUGAAUUAUGUAAUUACGCUUAAUGUUACUUUUAUCUAAUAAUAGGUAUCCUGGUACGUGGUUUAAUUUUGUCGUUACAUGAUCGAUGGUGACUGUUGUCCUUGCAUUGUAUCAAAAUAAACAAUUAUUACGGGAGUCAUGAGGUUUUUCUGAAUGGAAUUGUGGUUUCAUUCAACGCGAAGGGUAUUUACGUAGGGCCUAAGACAACUUAAUGCGGCCCUGUCAUGGACUAACACACGAAACAUGGUAUCA
This is a long non-coding RNA of Nicrophorus vespilloides, 607 nucleotides long. RefSeq lists it as uncharacterized. The transcript is spliced from 2 exons. Lineage: Eukaryota; Metazoa; Arthropoda; Insecta; Coleoptera; Silphidae. The record is from RefSeq and is a predicted model, not a curated record.